RNAcentral lists this ribosomal RNA (230 nucleotides) under uncultured archaeon. Its description in RNAcentral is "partial 16S ribosomal RNA". It matches the Rfam family "Archaeal small subunit ribosomal RNA", at positions 23 to 246 of the family's 1478-position model. The record is from RNAcentral.
GCCACUGCUGUUGGGGUUCGGCUAAGCCAUGCGAGUGGAGGGCGCGGUCGAAAGAUCGUGGCCCCGCAGACGGCUCAGUAACACGUCGUCAACCCACCUUAGGGUGGGGGACAACCUCGGGAAACUGAGGAUAAUCCCCCAUAGGCGGGGGAGGCUGGAAUGCGCCCCCGCUGAAAGCUCAGGCGCCCUAGGACGGGACGGCGGCCUAUCAGGUAGUUGGUGGUGUGACG